Molecule: ribosomal RNA, 497 nt
Filed under: uncultured bacterium
Lineage: Bacteria
Description: partial 16S ribosomal RNA
Rfam family: Bacterial small subunit ribosomal RNA
Source: RNAcentral
GAUGAACGCUGGCGGCGUGCCUAAUACAUGCAAGUAGAACGCUGAAGCUUGGUGCUUGCACCGAGCGGAUGAGUUGCGAACGGGUGAGUAACGCGUAGGUAACCUGCCUCUUAGCGGGGGAUAACUAUUGGAAACGAUAGCUAAUACCGCAUAAAAGUCGAUAUCGCAUGAUAUUGAUUUGAAAGGUGCAAAUGCAUCACUAAGAGAUGGACCUGCGUUGUAUUAGCUAGUUGGUGAGGUAACGGCUCACCAAGGCGACGAUACAUAGCCGACCUGAGAGGGUGAUCGGCCACACUGGGACUGGGACACGGCCCAGACUCCUACGGGAGGCAGCAGUAGGGAAUCUUCGGCAAUGGGGGCAACCCUGACCGAGCAACGCCGCGUGAGUGAAGAAGGUUUUCGGAUCGUAAAGCUCUGUUGUAAGAGAAGAACGAGUGUGAGAGUGGAAAGUUCACACUGUGACGGUAACUUACCAGAAAGGGACGGCUAACUACGUG